AAGGUCUACAAUAUUUAUUUUGAUCAUUUCUUUAUUUGACAAAGCCAAAAUAAAUUUAUUUACAAAUUUUACAUCUCUCUCUUAUAGUUUAUGUAACACCCAAAAUUUGAUUUCGGAUUAAUAGGAUUUAAUUUGAUUUAAUUAAGUAUUUUUGUGAGCAUUUAAAGUAGCACUUAAAUAAUUUUGUGGAAAAUAAAAUUUAUCGUAAGUUUUAGAAAAAUGUUUUUCGCAUUCAUGUUGGAGCACAUUUUAUUUUAUGCUUGUUUUUGAUGAGAAUUCAAAACUCUCUUUGGAAACGGCUUUGGAAAAAAAAUUGGAAAGAAAAAAAAAGAGAAAGCUCCUGGAAUCCAGGCUGAGACCCAGCUCCCCUCACCCCAGGC
RNAcentral lists this long non-coding RNA (380 nucleotides) under Sorghum bicolor (sorghum). RNAcentral's name for it is "long non-coding RNA (SBIC_LNC010233)". The record is from RNAcentral. Lineage: Eukaryota; Viridiplantae; Streptophyta; Magnoliopsida; Poales; Poaceae.